CAAUUUCAAAUUUUAAUUUAUUUUUAAAAUUUUGUUUUAAUAAUUUUUACCGCAAUAGCAUUGAAAUUAUUUUUUUUUUUAAGAGAUAGAUAGCACGCUAUAUAUCCGUUUCGUUUAUUUCAUUUAGAAAUAAACUUAGCUGGAAAUGUGAAUCAACUAGGAUUUGAACUUGGGUCUCAGAUACCAACCACCAAAUUCUUUACCAUUUACUCUAAGAACAGUCGGUUGCAGUGAAAAUUUUAAUUUACUUUGGAAGGCCCUCAUAGAAG
This 269-nucleotide long non-coding RNA is filed under the name Ananas comosus (pineapple). Its description in RNAcentral is "long non-coding RNA (ACOM_LNC011235)". Lineage: Eukaryota; Viridiplantae; Streptophyta; Magnoliopsida; Poales; Bromeliaceae. The record is from RNAcentral.